RNAcentral lists this long non-coding RNA (750 nucleotides) under Homo sapiens (human). RNAcentral describes it as "HSALNT0263875". Lineage: Eukaryota; Metazoa; Chordata; Mammalia; Primates; Hominidae. The record is from RNAcentral.
UAAAUUAUCCCUUAGCUUUAGGACUAUUGUACUUGCUUGUAUAUGGUUAUGUUCUCUUUGCACAUGGGGAUGACUGUUAAAUUUAAUGUGUAGACUAUGUGCUUUGGUAUUCUGUUCUGUUUGGGAGAAGGGUUCUGUAUCGAUCCAGCUGUCUUCUCCAACCAUUUCCAUGGACCCCACUGGUUUUUGUAUUUAUGAAGGAACGAACUAGACCAUAAGUUUUUGUAGGCCAUAGUGGCUAGCCCUUCUCAUUCAUAAUCUUUAGGUUGCUUCUGUUCUGCAGUAGCCCUUCUUCAUAUAAUGGUCAUUAUUUUACAAUAGGCCUUUUAUGCAAUAGUUGGUAAAUAUAUGUUAAUUUCCAAUACCUUUGAAUAUUUUGUAUCAUGUAAUUUUACAUGGUACCUCUUCCUGUCCCUAUUAGGAACCUAAAUAAAUGCAUGAUUCCCUAUUAACAGUUAUCUAGUGAAGAAUUUUUAUAUUCUUCCCUAAUUGAGUAUUUGAUCAUUAUCUUAAAUGUGUAUGCACAUAUAAAAUAUAUAUAGUGGCUAGUGCUUAUUCUUAUUAAACUGAUAGUUCUACGUUUUAUAGGCUUUUUUAUCUUGCUAGUUUUUCAGGAUAUUUUCUGUUAACCAUCUCUUCAUAAGCUAAGGCUUCCUUUCUGAUUUCAUUUUGUUUGUGUGCUUUCUAGCUCACUCAUGUGACUGCACUGAAAUCUAAGGAUCGGAAAGAAUCUGUGGUUCAGGAGGAAAA